Molecule: ribosomal RNA, 705 nt
Filed under: Escherichia coli
Lineage: Bacteria; Pseudomonadati; Pseudomonadota; Gammaproteobacteria; Enterobacterales; Enterobacteriaceae
Description: partial 23S ribosomal RNA
Rfam family: Bacterial large subunit ribosomal RNA
Source: RNAcentral
CGACCUUGAAAUACCACCCUUUAAUGUUUGAUGUUCUAACGUUGACCCGUAAUCCGGGUUGCGGACAGUGUCUGGUGGGUAGUUUGACUGGGGCGGUCUCCUCCUAAAGAGUAACGGAGGAGCACGAAGGUUGGCUAAUCCUGGUCGGACAUCAGGAGGUUAGUGCAAUGGCAUAAGCCAGCUUGACUGCGAGCGUGACGGCGCGAGCAGGUGCGAAAGCAGGUCAUAGUGAUCCGGUGGUUCUGAAUGGAAGGGCCAUCGCUCAACGGAUAAAAGGUACUCCGGGGAUAACAGGCUGAUACCGCCCAAGAGUUCAUAUCGACGGCGGUGUUUGGCACCUCGAUGUCGGCUCAUCACAUCCUGGGGCUGAAGUAGGUCCCAAGGGUAUGGCUGUUCGCCAUUUAAAGUGGUACGCGAGCUGGGUUUAGAACGUCGUGAGACAGUUCGGUCCCUAUCUGCCGUGGGCGCUGGAGAACUGAGGGGGGCUGCUCCUAGUACGAGAGGACCGGAGUGGACGCAUCACUGGUGUUCGGGUUGUCAUGCCAAUGGCACUGCCCGGUAGCUAAAUGCGGAAGAGAUAAGUGCUGAAAGCAUCUAAGCACGAAACUUGCCCCGAGAUGAGUUCUCCCUGACUCCUUGAGAGUCCUGAAGGAACGUUGAAGACGACGACGUUGAUAGGCCGGGUGUGUAAGCGCAGCGAUGCGU